This 155-nucleotide non-coding RNA is filed under the name Protocruzia adhaerens. The record is from RNAcentral. Lineage: Eukaryota; Ciliophora; Spirotrichea.
AAAAAAAUCUCACCCAAAAACAAAAAAGAAUCAAACAAACAGAAAAAAAGAAGAAAAAAUCUAACCAACCCUCCUUCUACAACAGUACCUUCCCGCUUUUGUAUUUUUAAAUGUGGAAUCUACCAUGAUUUCUAUAUUUUUCCCUUCCCUCUUGC